This 796-nucleotide ribosomal RNA is filed under the name uncultured Pelagibacteraceae bacterium. RNAcentral's name for it is "bacterial SSU rRNA". It matches the Rfam family "Bacterial small subunit ribosomal RNA", at positions 44 to 888 of the family's 1533-position model. Lineage: Bacteria; Pseudomonadati; Pseudomonadota; Alphaproteobacteria; Candidatus Pelagibacterales; Candidatus Pelagibacteraceae. The record is from RNAcentral.
ACGCCUUAUACAUGCAAGUCGAACGAAGUAGCAAUACUUAGUGGCAGACGGGUGAGUAACAUGUAGGUAUCUUCCCUUUGGUGAGGAAUAACACGAGGAAACUUGUGCUAAUACCUCAUAAGUCUUUACGGAGAAAGCUUUAUGCGCCAUUGGAUGAGCCUGCACUUGAUUAGUUUGUUGGUGGGGUAAUGGCCUACCAAGACUGUGAUCAAUAGCUGAUCUGAGAGGAUGAUCAGCCACAUUGGGACUGAGACACGGCCCAAACUCCUACGGGAGGCAGCAGUAGGGAAUAUUGCACAAUGGAGGAAACUCUGAUGCAGCGAUGCCGCGUGAGUGAAGAAGGCCUUUGGGUUGUAAAGCUCUUUCGUCGGGGAAGAAAAUGACUGUACCCGAAUAAGAAGGUCCGGCUAACUUCGUGCCAGCAGCCGCGGUAAUACGAAGGGACCUAGCGUAGUUCGGAAUUACUGGGCUUAAAGAGUUCGUAGGUUGUUAAAAAAGUUGGUGGUGAAAUCCCAGAGCUCAACUCUGGAACUGCCAUCAAAACUUUUUAGCUAGAGUAUGAUAGAGGAAAGCAGAAUUUCUAGUGUAGAGGUGAAAUUCGUAGAUAUUAGAAAGAAUACCAAUUGCGAAGGCAGCUUUCUGGAUCAUUACUGACGCUGAGGAACGAAAGCAUGGGUAGCGAAGAGGAUUAGAUACCCUCGUAGUCCAUGCCGUAAACGAUGUGUGUUAGACGUUGGAAAUUUAUUUUCAGUGUCGCAGCGAAAGCAGUAAACACACCGCCUGGGGAGUACGACCG